RNAcentral lists this ribosomal RNA (313 nucleotides) under Marinobacter sp. RNAcentral describes it as "partial 16S ribosomal RNA". It matches the Rfam family "Bacterial small subunit ribosomal RNA", at positions 1 to 306 of the family's 1533-position model. Lineage: Bacteria; Pseudomonadati; Pseudomonadota; Gammaproteobacteria; Pseudomonadales; Marinobacteraceae. The record is from RNAcentral.
AAACUGAAGAGUUUGAUCAUGGCUCAGAUUGAACGCUGGCGGCAGGCUUAACACNNNNNNNNNNAAGUCGAGCGGUAACAGGGGUAGCUUGCUACCCGCUGACGAGCGGCGGACGGGUGAGUAAUGCAUAGGAAACUGCCCAGUAGUGGGGGAUAGCCCGGGGAAACCCGGAUUAAUACCGCGUACGCCCUUCGGGGGAAAGCAGGGGAUCUUCGGACCUUGCGCUAUUGGAUGUGCCUAUGUCGGAUUAGCUAGUUGGUGGGGUAAAGGCCUACCAAGGCGACGAUCCGUAGCUGGUCUGAGAGGAUGAUCA